Molecule: long non-coding RNA, 396 nt
Organism: Rhipicephalus sanguineus (brown dog tick)
Lineage: Eukaryota; Metazoa; Arthropoda; Arachnida; Ixodida; Ixodidae
Exons: 3
Source: RefSeq, a predicted model, not a curated record
UGUGAUUUAACUGUCAAAGCCGGAAUGUUUAAAGCAUACAUCCCGCCCAAGGCAUGCUGGGAUGAUCUCCUAUCAGGCAGCUUGGAAACUUCCAGACGCCGAUAUGCCUUACGUUCGGUGCAGCCGAGGUUAUGAACUGUCAAGUGGAAUAUGCCCCUUGAGGAAAACAAUUAGGAUCGACUGUCCAGCGAGGAGAUUGCGGAAUCAGCAACUGACAUAUUGACUGAUGAAACAUGAUGGUGCGUGCAGCAAGAGAGGGUUUGACUGCAGAUCCUGACCACCUGCUCCUGUAAAUUUGUACCAACCACAGGCGAAAACAAGAAGAAACGCUUUGAAUACCUGCGGUCUUCUAUCAGCUAGACAAGUCUCUGAAGCUAUAAAUCAAUAAACUUUGAU